Ailuropoda melanoleuca (giant panda) is the source of this 5749-nucleotide long non-coding RNA. RefSeq lists it as uncharacterized. The record is from RefSeq and is a predicted model, not a curated record. NCBI's taxonomy places the organism in Eukaryota, Metazoa, Chordata, Mammalia, Carnivora, Ursidae. The transcript is spliced from 4 exons.
AGCAGAGAGCCCGAUCCAGCGUUCAAUCCCAGGACCCCAGGAUCGUGCCCUGAGCUGAAGGAAGACACUUAACGGACUGAGCCACCCAGGUGCCCCAUGUGUCUUGUCAAUUUAAUUCUUAGAUCACAGGGAAGACUCUUGAAGGGGGGAGCAUAAUUUUUCCUCAGCAACAGCUGGCAGAGUCAGCGGGAUAAACACUCACUGGCUGGACGCUGCUGCAGCUGAGAGACGAUGGGACAUCUGACAGAAGCUGGCAGAAGGUAAGAAUCCUCAUCACCACAUCACGUACUGGGGCUCAGCCUGCACGGGCUAAAUUCAGGUUAGCAGAGAAAAUAUUUGUGGAACUAGUUCCUUGGCCUUAAGGACUCUGGUGAUGUUGGUAGAAUUCUCUUGGCUUGAGAGAUCCAUUUCCAUCCAGAGAUGGCCGGUUUUUCUUUGUCCUUGUCUUUUGUGUCAUUUGUCGUAAAAAAAAAAAGAAUUACUGUAGAAAAGAACACAGGCAUAGGUCCAAUCAGCCUGCUGUUUGAGUAGGCCUCACAGACUGGUGGGUUCACAAUUACCAUCAUAGCUGCGUCUCUUUAGACAACCUUUACUGUGGGGCCUCUGUGUAAAAGCUAGAGGAGGUUUUUCCUUUUGUCUUGUUUUAUGUCCUAAGAGCUUUGGUUUGUAGCUAGUGAGAAUAUUCUCUCUGGCCUCCACCAUCCAAAAGAUGCAAUUACAAGAGUGCCUCUUGGUGUCCCAUCAAGUCUAGUGGGGUUCUGAGACUAUUAUAAGCAUUGUCUGCCCAUGCCAACUCUCAAGGGAAUUUGUUAUAAGAGGUCCCAGCCCAUAAGGGACCUUUGUCAUCUUAACCUUUGUUAUUGCUGGAGAAGUCUCCUUAGAAUAGUGUCUUCCCCAUGUCACAGAAUUGUGGGUCUCUAUACCAUCUUUACUUCUUGUGCAGUGAAGGCUUUUGCUGUCUUAGGCCUUUGGGUCUUCCCAUAAAAAGGCUUAUGGGUUUGAGUCACGAUUGAGAUGAUUAAGGUUCUAGUCAUUGUGGCCAGAUGAUGAAUCCUUUAAAUUGGCUAUAUUUGAAAGAAAAAUAUUAUUUACAGAGCAUCCUCAAUUCUAUUAGGAUAAUGGCUAGCCUUUGAAGUUCCCUUGUCAAGGUGAAAGGACAGUAAUUUGACUUAAGAUAAAAAUUAUUGUCCACAUCCAAUGUAAAUCCUCCUCCUUGAAAUCCAGCCCCAUCUGCCUGUUUUAAUUUCCCUUUUCCCUACGAGAUUUACACAGAGCCCCACAGCCUAAUCACAGGUUCAAAGUACACAGGUUACUCAUGUAAAUGCCGAAAGCCAGGAAAUAAAUUUAACAAAAGCACCCAAGACUGACAGUAAGGCUUGCUUUGCUCUGACUUUCCAGGGCUUCGUAAUUGGGCCCUGCCAGCGUCAGGCAUUUCUAUGCAGUGUCCUUUGCAGAUGUAUCCUGGACACUCCCACCCCCACCACCCACACAACAAAUUUUAUGUCCUCUGGAUAGCAGCAGAUCCUUUACACUGUAAAAGUCCUUUUACUUCCACUUUCAGAAGUUCCUACCAAAUUUAGAGAGGAAUUAGGAAGAUCAGUGGCCAUCCACAACACCCCCGCACCCCCCGGCACCCCCCGCACCCACACAGAUAAAACUGAUGACCACAAUGUUUCCUAGGCCCUCGUACAAGUGGUCAGCAGGAGGUCAAUGUUCAGGGACUAAUAGAAGCCGAGGUUAAAUUGUGUACUCAGAAAGAGGCUUUGUGUUUAAAAAAAAAAAAAAAAAAGCUUUGUACAGACUUUUCAAAGGCAUAAAUAUUGAUUCCCAUUUUAGUUAUAUAUCUCCCUGAUACAAAGAAGCAAGUUUGAUUUACAAAGGCAGGUGAGUCCCUUGCUAUUCAGGUUGUAAUCCACUACUUUGUGGAAAUUAAAAACAGCUGUCUUUGUCUUGCAACUCUAAAGUAUUAAAAUAAUCCAGAAAUUGUAUGAAGUUGCUUAGAUUUUAUAUGUAAUUGUGUUAUCUCUUAUAAUUCUGCUUAAUAUCUUGAAUGGCUGUGUGUCACAGAAAUAACCAAAUUUCCUUCUUGAUUGCAUUGUGUGAACUCUAAUCAAAUUUUUAACCAUUGCCAUUUUUAACUCUUUUAUCAUUUACAGACAGCUUUAUACUUUUAUUCAGAUGCUUUUGUAAAAGUGUUACUACAAAUAUGCUUCAUCUUCAAGGAAAUUCAUGAAAAGGACUCUAGAAUAUAGGUUUCUAAGAACUUUAAGAUCUUUAAAAACUCCAGAAUUAAUGGAAAAACUGGAUUCAAGCAAAACAAGAAGAAUUACACGUGAGUGAAUAAACUGAGGAAGAGAAAUAAUAUAAUUAUGACUUUUGGUUAGAAACAUUGACUUUUAAAAAUGUUUUAUAUCCAGAUUUAAGGAAACUUUUUUUCUCUUAAGCUAAUUGAUUUAUAGCAUUUCAGUAAAUUCUACUUCUGUAAGCAGAAUUGAAACCUUUGUGUUCUUUUUCCCUACCGGAUCUCCUCAGAAUGUGGAAACUCUCAGUGGGUCUUCUUAUAAUUUUCAUGGCAGUAUAUUUAUUUGCAUCAAUUCAAUAAGAAUCUGUUCUGGUAACAGGAUGCAGUUGGAACCACUGGUUAUAUUACGAAGGCUUUGACUGGAAUGUCAUAUGUGAGGGAAGCAUGCAUAGACUCAGAUAGGACCAGACAGCUUUAAGGAACUGAGGUUGACUUUACGGAGCCAGUAAAGCCCCUUGGAAAUAUCAGCCUGACACUUUGCUUAUCAGGUAAGUAAGGAAGAUCAACUUCAUUGCCGGUACUAGAACCCCAGGAUAUCUUGGGGACCUCAAGAAAAGAGGAGGUAACCCAAACUUCUAGGUAUUGCAGACACAGUCUGAUGGUAAGUGUUUCUCCAGGCUUCUUAGCCUCAAGAAGCUAUUAAAAGUUCAAUUCGAAGAUUCCUUAUGAAAAGUUGCAGCAGGGGCACCUGGGUGGCUCUGUCCGGUAAGGAUCCCACUCUUGAUUUUGGCUCAGGUCACUAUCUCAGGGUCAUGAGAUCAAGCUCUUUGUUGGGCUCUGCGCUGGGGAUGGGACAUGCAUAAGAUUCUCUCCCUCGCCUUCUGCCCUCCCCCUCUGACUGUCUAAAGAGAAAAGAAAAGUUCCAAGAAGUCAGAUUUAGAAGACCCUAUACGAUCAGUCACUGUACUUGCUGCCUUUACGUAAAGCACCAGGUCAGAUUUAUUAAAAGUAAACUUACAGACAAGUUAGUCUUAGUUUGGCUAAGUUUGAAAAUGAGGGGGACUUGAGAGAGAAAAAUGUUUCAAUAACACUUUUGUGGAUAUCAGAUUCUACUUCUGUUGAUUGUCUUUGAGGUUUUGUUUUCUACCUGUAAACUAGACUAGAUUCUGAAUUCUUCUGAUGACUGACUACAACUCUCUAACCAACGUUUCCAAUUUUCUCCCAUCCUUUUGACUUAGAAUAAAUGAGAAUUAAAACAGACUGUUUUUUUUUUCCUUGAAGCCCUGCAAACUGUAUAUGAAUGACUUGAUGUCACCUUCAGGAAAAUCAGCACAAUGGAUCACAUCAAGAAGAUAAAAUUCCUGUGAAGAUGUCUUACCUUGUCAAGAUCACGGGGAAGACUCUUGAAAGGGAGAGCAUAAUUUUUCCUCAAUAGCUGGCAGAAUUGGCAGGGUAAAACACUCACUGGCUGGACGCUGCUGCAGCUGAGAGACGAUGGGACAUCUGACAGAAGCUGGCAGAAGAAGAGAGAGAUCGCAGUCUGCUCUUCACCGAGCUCUCCUGGCCACUCUAACUCUGUUUCUGUCGGUGCUGCUAAAGAACCCCGCAGCAUCCCGUGUUGUGUGCCCCACAGCGUGCUCCCAGGGCUGGCUCGUCUCUGCCCUUUGUGCUUCUAACAUCGCCAGCCCCCCUGGUUCCCGUGUGCGCACCCAAGCUCCUGGUCUCAGUCUGGUUCCCUGGUGGCUACAGGACUCCAAAUAUAAACGGGAGCACCUAUACUCAAGAGAGUUUGCAGCAGCAGUGCGGACUGAAACACCACAGAACCCCAAGGUUUACCCGAGCAGGCUUUACACUAUGGAGUUCCCAUUGUCUGAGAACAUGCACCAACCAAUGGAAAGGCUCGGGCAUUCUAGGAGGCCCUAUGAAAUACAGAACCACUGACAGAAAAUAUACCGAUUGUACUUAAACUCUAACAACCCCUUCUGGGGUAGGUAAAGCAGACCCCUGACAGACAAAUGAGAACUACUCUUGAGCAUAAAGUCCUAAAAUAAAAUUGGUACAUAUCUGAGUGGGGCAUGCAGAUGAAAGGUUGACCUCGGUAUCAACUGAAAAAAAUCUCAGCCAUGCCAAUAGUGGACUUGCUGGAUUUCAAGGCUUACGCUUUAGCAGUCGGAUAGUCAGGACCACUGUGGUCCAUAGCAGUCAACAAUGUGUGGUUUCGGGUGGAUCAGGCUGCUUGCCAUCAGCCAGAGCAUGCUGCCAGCCCUGUGGCUGGACAACUACAAAUGGUUGAUCAGAAUCAGGCUGAAGGGAAUCAGUACAAUAUACUGAUUUAGUAGCCAUCAGAUUGGAAACUGAACAUUCUGUUAAGGAAAAUCAGAAUGAGGUGUGUAAAUAUUUUUGGACCCAAGGCCAGUAGGUAAAUGAAUAGCUCCUUGGUCAGGUCAUGGCAGGACAAUGGGAAAUAGGAUAGAAGAACAUAUGGGGUAAGGACAUAUGGCAGAGAGAGCACUGGAUGACAGCUCUAUAGUGAUUACAUAGGUCUCUGCACAUCGGAAGGACAACUCUGAAGUAAAGAAUUUUAAUAACCAGGUAGCAUAUCUAAACAAGGACGAUGAAACAUAAAACAUGGACUCACAGAUAUGCCGGCAGAGAGGAUCACUGCAUGGGCACAUCGCUCAACAUGUCAUGCUGGCACACAUGGCGCCAGAAGACUGCUGGAAAAAGAAACAUGUAUAUAACUACCAAAUAGCUUUAAUUUUAAAUUAGGAAAUGUGAGAAAUGCCAAAUGUGAAGCUUAUUCAUUCAUUCCUUCUUCAUUACACACUACUGAGUCAUCUGGGUAAGGUCAAAGAUAACCACCUUUUCAAAUUACACAAAGUAAUUACAUGGAACACUGGCCUAAAUCAGAGAAUGAACUAUAUGCACGCACCCAUGUAGGCCAUAAUCAGGAAUACAAUUACCCUACCUUUGCAAGAGAAAUGAUCAAAAAUCCACCAUCUAAGCCUUAGAAAUCUGGAUCGCUUGCUCUGUUUUUCCAACCAUCAUAAGAUCAGAUCAGGGCACCUAUUUCACAGGAAAGCUAAUGCUCAAGAAUGGGCUAAGAAACAAGACAUAAAGUGGAACUUCCUCUUACCCUACAACCCAACUGCCUCUGGAUCGGUUGAAAGGUAUCAUGGCUUGCUUAAGCAAAAGCUUAAGUUACUAACAAUCUAGAAUACGAAAGCUUAGACUAAAACAAGCUGAGAGGCAGAAAGAUCUCUAAACCACUGGUAUAGAAAGGGUGGAAAACCUUCCAGUGAAUUAAUAUUGCAGGCACCAACAGAGAUGGGAAUUAGCAUUAUCAGCACACCAGGAUCUCAAAAGUAUUAACUGAAAAACAGAAACAUAUAUAGUACUGGGGAAAUUAUACCACCUGCCGUAAUAACACCUACUGCCUGAUCAAAGGAAAAGGCAUAUUACAGCAAAAUGAAGACCUUACUAUACCUCUAUAAAAGUUUCAGCCAU